AGAAAAGCAAAGCAAAUAGUGAACUCCGUUUCCUCCGUUUUUUCCCCUGCUCUUGCAAGUUGUCUGCACUUAUCUUCUCUUGGUCUAUUGCACGUUGAAGUCGGGGCUGAUAGGCAUCAUCAGAUCGAAUGGCAACGUGGCCGGUGGGACUCAGAUUCGAACCGACCGAGGAUGAACUCGUCGAUCAUCACCUUAGAGGGAAGCUCAAGGGAAAACUGGAAGCAUUCUGCCUCAUCCCAGAGCUAUACAUCUACAGUUGCGAGCCUCCGGAUUUGUUCAUUUCAUACAAUGAAUUAUCGGCCAUACCGUCAGACGGACGGGAGUGCUUCUUCUUCUGUCCUGGCGGGGACAAAAUUCCAAAUAAUCGUCGUUCUAAUAACAGGAUGACAGAAUUGGGAUAUUGGAAAGAUACUUGUAAGAAACGCGUUAUACGAUCCCUGGUCACUGGCAAACAAAUAGGGAUCAGGAAGAUUUUGGUUUAUUAUGAGGGUCGACAACCGAAAGGCCGCAAGACCGAUGUGGUCAUGCACGAAUACCACCUAAACUCAAGUGUCUCUGACAGUAAAAUCUCCGGCCCGGUACUCCAUUUUUCCCUCUGUUAAAUCCUCUAACUGAGCAUCUGUAACGCGUUUACCAGUGCAGAUGGCCUUUGUUCUCUGUCACAUAAUCGACAGGAAACGUAAGAAAGCGAGGUCAGCAAAAGCGGUUGCUUUGGCCAGUUCAAGCACCGGUAGUACUCCUAAUGACUCCGGAAAUGGACAACGCGACGAAAUUAGUACAGAGGCAUCUGGGGAAGUAACGAUCGAAACCCAAAAUCAGAAUGAGAUAUUGAUUUCCAGCAUGUCAGACAAUAAUGGGCCUAUUAUCCCUCAGCAGGACCAGGUGCACGAAGAGCAAAGCCCGCUUUAUGAUGGUUGUCUGUUUAUAGAUGGGCAUAGUGACGAAUUGUAUGAUCUGCCAUAUUCCCCGAGCAACGGUAUGGAGAUCUUGGACCUCUGGAAUGUCCCUACGGAUGAACUAGUAUGCCAAAGUAUCCUUCCUGGAGAAGAAUUUGAUGGACUUACUAUUACCUAGUUACUAUGUUGUUGACAUAAGAGGGAUGGGAGGUGGGUGUGCUGUAAAAACUGUAGUUGGGUGAGUGGAGAUUGUGUGUGUAUGGUACAAACUAUGUAGUGCUGCGUAUAACAGUCAGGUUGUGAAAGUAUGGAUACAUCAGUAUUGUGUUUUGUACUGGUUGCAGUGUGAGUGAAGGAAAACCAUUUUGUGCUGGUUGCAAA
RNA transcript from Eucalyptus grandis, 1277 nucleotides. It is a transcript of the gene named protein NTM1-like 9, with no coding region annotated. Lineage: Eukaryota; Viridiplantae; Streptophyta; Magnoliopsida; Myrtales; Myrtaceae. The record is from RefSeq and is a predicted model, not a curated record. The transcript has 4 exons.